Molecule: long non-coding RNA, 1275 nt
Filed under: Apteryx owenii (little spotted kiwi)
Lineage: Eukaryota; Metazoa; Chordata; Aves; Apterygiformes; Apterygidae
Description: lncRNA (ENSAOWG00000008948.1)
Source: RNAcentral
CGCUUUAUUCUGCACAAAAAUCAAACUUUUAACUUAAAACAAAAGGCAAAUGGAUGGUUUUGGUGCAGUGAUGCCCCCCCCCCAGCCCAGCUCCUGGGGUGCUGGCGUGCAGCCGCUUGCGGCUUUGCCAGAAUUGCAUAGUUCAGCCCCAGAUUUCCCACGCGGUGGUCACCCAGGGCUCCAGCAGGGACGUGGGUGCUCCAGGAGGGAUGUGGGAGCUUGGGAGAGGGGUGGAGGCUGGGAUGAGGGUGCUCCCGGGGGUGAUGAGGGUGCCCCAGGAGGGAUGGUGGUGUUCCCGGAGAGGCCGAGGGUGCCCACGGCAGGGAUGUGGGGGCUCCCGGGAGCGGUGCGGAGGGGCUGCACUCCCGGCCCUCUCCCGGGCAGCCGGACCCCCCUCCGCACCCCGGCUGGGGUGGGCAGCACUCGGCUCCCGGYGUUUCAUCCCUGGUGAAAACUUCCUCAGCGCCCGGCUGCAGCACCGGCCCCGCGGCUGCCACCAGCCUGCCCAUGCCGGUGCCGAGGCUGGACCGGGGAUGGGGGGUCAGCAGCCGGGAUGGGGACGGGAACAGCAACAGGGAUGGGAACAGGAGCAGGGAUGGGAGCAGGGAUGGGGACAGGGAUGGGGACGGGGACCGGAGCAGGGCCAGGUGGGACCGUGGGAACCAGCCUUGCCGCCGUCCCCUCGCUCGGCGCUGGCUCUCCGUCCCCUGGCGCCCACCAAGCCCCGCGGGGUGCUGGGUGGUGUGAGGGGGGACGGGGACGGAGCAGGGCCGCCCGCGGGUGUCCGCCCCACCGAGCUCGCCCUGCGUGGGGCCGGGCACGGCGCUGCCGCYGGGGGACGCGGCCACGAGGAUCCCUCCAGCCCUGCCUGCGCGAGGAGCCCGCCGUGCCCUGCUCGGAUGCUGGGGGUCCCGGGUGUCCCAGGGCACCGGGGUCCGCACAGCCUGGGGGCUGCAGGGGCUUGGGGAGGGGACAAGGUGACCGGGAGYGGCACAGGCUGCUGCAUCCUGCACGGCUCACGGGGGGGCUGCACCCACGUCCCGCUCGCRGGGUCUGCGCCUGGGCCCAGCUCGUGGGGUGCUGCCUCCGUGCAGGGUCCGCACCCGUGUCCGGAUCGCGGGGUGCUGCACCUGCGCCCAGCUUGCAGGGUGCUGCACCCGCGCCUGGUUCGUGGGGUGCUGCAGCCGUGCCUGGUUCAUGGGGUGCUGCAUCUGUGCCUGGUUCAUGGGGUGCUGCAGCCAUGCCUGGUUCAUGGGGUGCUGCACGGUGCUGCAC